AGCUAUCUUAGUGAGGUAUACCUGCUUCUCACAGGCACCUGCAUCCCUGAACCUUCACCUGAGAUCAAUCUGUUUAAUUAUCAUUUAAAGAAGUCACACAUGUGGACAGUUACCACCCUACCUUCUCAGGGAUGUGCGUGACCCCUAAGCUGCCCUCCCUUUGUGCAGCCCACCCUGUCUGGCUGCAGGAGCUCGGUGAGCGUGUGAGGGCCCUGAGGUUGGUGGAAACAGCUGUGAUCCUGUGUACCACCAGCUGCUGUCACCUGCUUUGGAGAUCAAACUCUCAAAGAAGUUUGAAGACUGCCAGAAUGGCUGAGGGUCCUUUCUGAAAACAAUAAAAUUCCUAAUAUGUACUGGUGUACCUGCCUGCAAAAUCUGGUUUGCUGGUGCUUCAGAUGAGAAGAGUUUGGCUGCAGUUUCGUGGAAUGCAGUUCCUGCCCGGCUGUUUUUGCUGUCAAACAGGUGAUUUAAAGUGCUUCAGAGCCACUGAGUCAUCGCUGUGCUUAGAUGAGUCGAUUAUCACUGCAUCGGGAUCCUCUUGCGAUAUCUCCCAGCCUGACACCUCUGCCUCGAACAAAGAAAGGACUGGAGCUAGUACCAGCCUGGGGAGCAUUUGGAUUUGAAGAGCACUGAACUCCAGUGGUUGAAAUGUUGAUUAGGUUUUGCAAAUGAGCUACACACCUCUUUGAAAGUUUUCCUACCUUUCAAAGACAAUAAUUUGAAAUGCUUCCCAUAGUGCUGAGUAAUGACAGUAUCUCUCUAUUAAGUAGAAAAUUCUGCUCUCAAACACUUACAAGCUGCUUUUGUACUGGACCUAGGGGUUUGCAUGUCUGUGAACAGACACAGAAGCCAUUUAACAGUCCACAAUGUAACAACGUGCUCCAAAGAUCCCAGAGUUAAAAUUGAAGCUGUACAUAGAUACAAUAUUUGGAGCACAUGGAAUGGGAACAAUCCAUUCAGCACUGUUCCUUUGGAAGCCAGUUGCACCAGCAGGCUAGUGAGCCCGGUGUACCUCUUCAGGCAAAGUUUUUCAAAGGCAAUUGCACUUUAAGUGGUAGAGAAUAUUCAUGUUGUGCAAAUGAUUGAAAUUACAAUUCCACAACUUGAGCAAACCACAGUACCUCUUGUAGUGGCUGUUGGUUUUUGUCUUUAGUACAGAUGUGAUUAUUUCCUAUACUCUUACUAAUGAUCUCUAUUGAAAUUGCAAGAAGGAAAUGCAAAAUAAGGAAAACCUUAGUGUGACUGAAAUGUAACAGUUGAGUAUAGAGAAAUUACUAGCAAAAUCAGAAGAUAGGCUUUGAGUAAUUGAAGUUGAUGGCAAUAAAUUAAAUACAAAGUAGCUUGUUUAUAAACAAUCUUUUCAUGUGUUUGCACUCCAUCAUUCAAUUACUUUGUUGUGCUCACCAUGCUUGCUUUUUUUUUUUUUUUUUUGUCUUUAUACUGAAAUAUUUCAAGAGUAAGAAAUAAUUCAGAUAAAGAAAAUUUGUGGUGAUGUUUCUAAAACUUGCAUUUCUUGUACAACGGCACAGGACACAUAAAUGAUAUAAUCAGAAUAAUAAUGGAAAUUAUGCUAUUGUAAUUAUUAGAUUCAAUAUGCACCAAUGUUUCUGGGUUUUCUGCAGGAAUAUUUCUGUUGGGCUCUUUAUAGAAUCAUUGGAGGGGAUAAAGUGAAAAGCUGGAACUGUUUGUCAGCUUGAAUUCCUUGGUUAUAUGGUUUUGUUUUAUUUUAUGAUACUUUAAAGUCCUCUCUUUAUCUAGUUAAAUUAGUGGCAAAAUAUCAAUAUCUGAAGAACAGAUGUGGAAAUGAUUCUGUAGUUACGUAUUCACAAAACAAACAAAUGACUGUCAAGGCAUGUGUA
This is a long non-coding RNA of Phasianus colchicus (ring-necked pheasant), 1859 nucleotides long. RefSeq lists it as uncharacterized. The record is from RefSeq and is a predicted model, not a curated record. Lineage: Eukaryota; Metazoa; Chordata; Aves; Galliformes; Phasianidae.